ACGCCCUUGGUCCCCUACGGAUCGGAGAUGGUCGGGCUUACAUCAAAUAAUAAAGACUUCUCAGAAUAUUGGUAACCUUGGAAAGGAUGUGAAGGUGGAUUAUUGAAACCUACAUCAAAUGCAUCAGCUUCAUCAGCAAUGUUUCUAGGUUCCAAACCCC
Molecule: long non-coding RNA, 160 nt
Organism: Zingiber officinale
Lineage: Eukaryota; Viridiplantae; Streptophyta; Magnoliopsida; Zingiberales; Zingiberaceae
Exons: 3
Source: RefSeq, a predicted model, not a curated record